GACUGGUUGCCAUGGAAGCCUGGAUAGAGGCCGCUUACGGUAGAAGCUCGGAUGGAGAUCGGUUGCCGUGGGAGCCCAGAUGGAGGCCGCUUACGGUAGAAGCUCGGAUGGAGAAUGGAAGGUGGUCAACCACCGUAAAAGCUUGAAUAGAGUCUAGUUGCUGUAGAAAUCCUGCUGCUGGAGAGGCACGGAUCUUGACGAAGUCAGGAAGAAGCCCAAAGCAGAGUCGAUCGCGAUAGGAGGAAGUCUGGAAAUGGUUUGGACAACAGUCAAUCGCUGUGAAAGGUCGACUGAUAGUGGAGUCCAGAGAGCAUUUGGAGCAGUCCGAUAGAUGAUUGGAGGAUCUUAUCAUUGGAGAAGUCCAGAGGGUACGGUAAGAGCUCGUCCGUCAGAGGAGUUCGGUUAGCACUUGUAGAAGGCAUUGUGGAAGUUCGUCCGCCAGAGGAACUUGGGAACACUAUGGAAGCCCGACUGCUGGAGAAGUCCGGAAAGAUGUCGCACA
Molecule: long non-coding RNA, 502 nt
Filed under: Elaeis guineensis (African oil palm)
Lineage: Eukaryota; Viridiplantae; Streptophyta; Magnoliopsida; Arecales; Arecaceae
Description: long non-coding RNA (EGUI_LNC077502)
Source: RNAcentral